RNAcentral lists this ribosomal RNA (302 nucleotides) under uncultured bacterium. RNAcentral describes it as "partial 16S ribosomal RNA". It matches the Rfam family "Bacterial small subunit ribosomal RNA", at positions 508 to 807 of the family's 1533-position model. The record is from RNAcentral.
GCAGUAGCCGCGGUAAUACGUAGGUGGCAAGCGUUGUCCGGAAUUAUUGGGCGUAAAGGGCUCGCAAGCGGUUUCUUAAGUCUGAUGUGAAAGCCCCCGGCUCAACCGGGGAGGGUCAUUGGAAACUGGGAAACUUGAGUGCAGAAGAGGAGAGUGGAAUCCCACGUGUAGCGGUGAAAUGCGUAGAGAUGUGGAGGAACACCAGUGGCGAAGGCGACUCUCUGGUCUGUAACUGACGCUGAGGAGCGAAAGCGUGGGGAGCGAACAGGAUUAGAUACCCCGGUAGUCCCUGUCUCUUAUAC